GGCCUUUAAGCAGUAAUGGCUUGGAUGACUCAGGCCUACUUUGAAGGUCCAUUGUCCACUGUUUGACUUAGGGGCUGUGGGCCUGGGCUUUCUUGUAGGACCUGCAGGCUUCCCAAAGCGCCUGUUACUGGCUGAAAGG
MicroRNA precursor from Equus caballus (horse), 139 nucleotides. The record is from Ensembl. NCBI's taxonomy places the organism in Eukaryota, Metazoa, Chordata, Mammalia, Perissodactyla, Equidae.